Molecule: ribosomal RNA, 695 nt
Filed under: uncultured bacterium
Lineage: Bacteria
Description: bacterial SSU rRNA
Rfam family: Bacterial small subunit ribosomal RNA
Source: RNAcentral
UGCCCAGAUCUAAGGAAUAGCCACUGGAAACGGUGAGUAAUACCUUAUACGCCCUUCGGGGAAAGAUUUAUCGGAUUUGGAUCGGCCCGCGUUAGAUUAGAUAGUUGGUGGGGUAACGGCCUACCAAGUCUACGAUCUAUAGCUGGUUUUAGAGGAUGAUCAGCAACACUGGGACUGAGACACGGCCCAGACUCCUACGGGAGGCAGCAGUGGGGAAUCUUGGACAAUGGGCGCAAGUGAUCCAGCCAUGCCGCGUGAGUGAUGAAGGCCUUAGGGUCGUAAAGCUCUUUCGCCAGGGAUGAUAAUGACAGUACCUGGUAAAGAAACCCCGGCUAACUCCGUGCCAGCAGCCGCGGUAAUACGGAGGGGGUUAGCGUUGUUCGGAAUUACUGGGCGUAAAGCGCACGUAGGCGGAUUGGAAAGUUAGAGGUGAAAUCCCGGGGCUCAACCCCGAACUGCCUUUAAAACUCCCAGUCUAGAGUUCGAGAGAGGUAAGUGGAAUUCCGAGUGUAGAGGUGAAAUUCGUAGAUAUUCGGAGGAACACCAGUGGCGAAGGGGCUUACUGGCUCGAUACUGACGCUGAGGUGCGAAAGUGUGGGGAGCAAACAGGAUUAGAUACCCUGGUAGUCCACACCGUAAACGAUGAAUGCCAGUCGUCGGGUAGCAUGCUAUUCGGUGACACACCUAACGGAUUA